AGAUUGAACGCUGGCGGCAUGCUUUACACAUGCAAGUCGAACGGUAACAGGCCGCAAGGUGCUGACGAGUGGCGAACGGGUGAGUAAUGUAUCGGAACGUGCCCAGUCGUGGGGGAUAACGCAGCGAAAGCUGCGCUAAUACCGCAUACGAUCUGUGGAUGAAAGCGGGGGACCGUAAGGCCUCGCGCGAUUGGAGCGGCCGAUAUCAGAUUAGGUAGUUGGUGGGGUAAAGGCUCACCAAGCCAACGAUCUGUAGCUGGUCUGAGAGGACGACCAGCCACACUGGGACUGAGACACGGCCCAGACUCCUACGGGAGGCAGCAGUGGGGAAUUUUGGACAAUGGGCGCAAGCCUGAUCCAGCAAUGCCGCGUCGCAGGAAGAAGGCCUUACGGUUGUAAACUGCUUUUGUACGGAACGAAACGGUCCUGGUUAAUACCUGGGCUAAUGACGUACCGUAAGAAUAAGCACCGGCUAACUACGUGCCAGACAGCCGCGGUAAC
RNAcentral lists this ribosomal RNA (501 nucleotides) under uncultured soil bacterium. Its description in RNAcentral is "bacterial SSU rRNA". It matches the Rfam family "Bacterial small subunit ribosomal RNA", at positions 26 to 524 of the family's 1533-position model. The record is from RNAcentral.